RNAcentral lists this ribosomal RNA (254 nucleotides) under uncultured bacterium. RNAcentral describes it as "partial 16S ribosomal RNA". It matches the Rfam family "Bacterial small subunit ribosomal RNA", at positions 524 to 776 of the family's 1533-position model. The record is from RNAcentral.
CACGUAGGGACCAAGCGUUGUCCGGAUUCAUUGGGCGUAAAGAGCUCGUAGGCGGUUCGAUAAGUCGGGUGUGAAACCUCCAGGCUCAACCUGGAGACGCCACCUGAUACUGCCGUGGCUAGAGUCCGGUAGAGGAGCGUAGAAUUCCUGGUGUAGCGGUGAAAUGCGCAGAUAUCAGGAGGAAUACCAGCGGCGAAGGCGGCGCUCUGGGCCGGUACUGACGCUGAGGAGCGAAAGCGUGGGGAGCAAGCAGG